CAGACUUGACAUCCUGUGAACCUCUUAGAAAUAAGAGAGUGCCUUCGGGAGCACAGAGACAGGUGCUGCAUGGCUGUCGUCAGCUCGUGUCGUGAGAUGUUCGGUUAAGUCCGGCAACGAGCGCAACCCUUGUCUUCAGUUGCCAGCACGUAAAGGUGGGAACUCUGAAGAGACUGCCCCGGUUAACGGGGAGGAAGGUGGGGAUGACGUCAAGUCCUCAUGGCCCUUAUGUCUGGGGCUACACACGUGCUACAAUGGUAUGUACAAAGGGCAGCAAGCAUGCGAGUGCAAGCUAAUCCCUUAAAGCAUAUCCCAGUCCGGAUUGGAGUCUGCAACUCGACUCCAUGAAGUUGGAAUCGCUAGUAAUCGUGGAUCAGCAUGCCACGGUGAAUACGUUCCCGGGCCU
RNAcentral lists this ribosomal RNA (406 nucleotides) under uncultured bacterium. RNAcentral's name for it is "bacterial SSU rRNA". It matches the Rfam family "Bacterial small subunit ribosomal RNA", at positions 976 to 1381 of the family's 1533-position model. The record is from RNAcentral.